CAGUCGCCGCGGUAAUACAGAGGAUGCAAGCGAUAUCCGGAAUGAUUGGGCGUAAAGCGUCUGUAGGUGGCUUUUCAAGUCCGCCGUCAAAUCCCAGGGCUCAACCCUGGACAGGCGGUGGAAACUACCAAGUUGGAGUACGGUAGGGGCAGAGGGAAUUUCUGGUGGAGCGGUGAAAUGCGUUGAGAUCGGAAAGAACACCAGUGGCGAAGGCGACUCUCUGGUCUGUAACUGACGCUGAGGAGCGAAAGCGUGGGGAGCGAACAGGAUUAGAUACCCCCGUAGUCCCUGUCUCUUAUAA
Molecule: ribosomal RNA, 301 nt
Filed under: uncultured bacterium
Lineage: Bacteria
Description: partial 16S ribosomal RNA
Rfam family: Bacterial small subunit ribosomal RNA
Source: RNAcentral